GUUGCAGUGAGGGAGAAUAAUAUUUUUGAGGGCUCAUAUUAUUUUCCCGAUCGAUCACAAGGGGGCGAGAGAAAAAGUCUUCAAAGUGUUGUUAGAAAUUGUAUUGAGGCUUUGGAUUCGACGAAAGGUGUCGAGAGGCGGAGGACGGACGGAUAUGAAGGUAGGAAUAGAGAUGCUCACCGGCAAAUUCUUCUACGUGGAGGUGGAAGAUGAAGCAACGGUUGGCGGUUUAAAGAGAGAGAUCGCAAGGAAGGAGGAGUUGGAGGAAAGCAGGCUAUUACUGGUGGACUGCAGUAGCAAUCUGCUCCAGGAUGACGACCGCGCUCUCGCUGCCUACGGCUGCUUCGAUGGAUCCAUCAUCCGCCUCAUCGUUCUACCGGUUGGAAAUUUAGCAUGGCCACAGCUUCUCGAAGACUGGGACUUCUUCCACGUCAACGACGGAGAAUGAAGCUAACAUAGGUGUUGCACUGUCUCGUCUCUUUGGAGCUGUGAGCGCCAGAUUCCAGGCCGUGGAAUUCACAGUCGAUCCAUUAACUCCGCUACUCUCUCUCUC
Molecule: long non-coding RNA, 553 nt
Organism: Musa acuminata AAA Group (dessert banana)
Lineage: Eukaryota; Viridiplantae; Streptophyta; Magnoliopsida; Zingiberales; Musaceae
Exons: 2
Source: RefSeq, a predicted model, not a curated record